Small nuclear RNA from Heterocephalus glaber (naked mole-rat), 103 nucleotides. The record is from Ensembl. Lineage: Eukaryota; Metazoa; Chordata; Mammalia; Rodentia; Bathyergidae.
GAUUUUUUCUUUUUAAUUUUAAAAGUACAAGUCGAUGAAACAGAGAUUAGCAUGGCCCCUGUGCAAGGAUGACACACAAAUUGGUGAAGCGUUCCAUAUUAAA